CAUGCACUGGUGGGGUCCCUCAGCCUGGCCUGCACCCCCUUGCAAUCUGGGACCCCUCAGGGAUGUCGGAGAGCCAGUUUUGGACCAAUCCUGCAGGCCAGGCUGAGGGACCUCACUGGUGCACG
This 125-nucleotide microRNA precursor is filed under the name Myotis brandtii (Brandt's bat). Its description in RNAcentral is "mir-9193 microRNA precursor family". It matches the Rfam family "mir-9193 microRNA precursor family". Lineage: Eukaryota; Metazoa; Chordata; Mammalia; Chiroptera; Vespertilionidae. The record is from Rfam by way of RNAcentral.